Molecule: transfer RNA, 71 nt
Filed under: Oneirodes thompsoni
Lineage: Eukaryota; Metazoa; Chordata; Actinopteri; Lophiiformes; Oneirodidae
Description: tRNA-Asp
Source: RNAcentral
AAGACACUAGUAAAAGAAAUAUUACGUUGCUUUGUCGAAGCAAUAUUGUGGGUUUGCCCCCACGUGUUUUG